ACUCCAGGAGAGCCAUUUGUCUGAUAGAAAGGGAGUUGGGGGGCGAAAACCAUCUAGGUUACAAACAUGAGUCUUCCCAAAAUGUGGACUGCCCAGUAGAGCCGCUGUGGCCUCCGACCGACAGUUCGGGCCGCUCCACACAGAGAAACUCGGCCUGAGGUUGGAGUCGGGGCCUGAGGGAAGAGAGCGGGGGGCGAAGCCCAGGAUUGCCUGUGCUGGUGCUCUGACUGCAGAGAGGACUGACUGACUGACUGACUGGCUAAUUGGCUUCUCCCCGCCUUCUUCGCCUGCUGAAGGAACCAGAAAGAAAAAAAAACCCCGAAAAAAAACCCCUAAACGGCGUGCAUCCAACCCCACAAAUGGACGGGAAAUGGUGGAUUUGUCUCGGGCAAUAGAGGCAAUCGAUUUUGAGCCUGCUGUGGCAGAACUCCUUGGCCCACACUUCCUUUGGGGGAGAUCGUUCGUUUUCCAUUGGAUUCCAAUUAAAAAAGGAGAAAAAUCAA
Long non-coding RNA from Ornithorhynchus anatinus (platypus), 503 nucleotides. RefSeq lists it as uncharacterized. NCBI's taxonomy places the organism in Eukaryota, Metazoa, Chordata, Mammalia, Monotremata, Ornithorhynchidae. The transcript is spliced from 2 exons. The record is from RefSeq and is a predicted model, not a curated record.